CCUACGGGUGGCAGCAGUGGGGAAUAUUGCACAAUGGGGGAAACCCUGAUGCAGCGACGCCGCGUGAGUGAAGAAGUAUUUCGGUAUGUAAAGCUCUAUCAGCAGGGAAGAAAAUGACGGUACCUGAUCAAGAAGCCCCGGCUAACUACGUGCCAGCAGCCGCGGUAAUACGUCGGGGGCAAGCGUUAUCCGGAUUUACUGGGGGUAAAGGGAGCGUAGACGGCAGGGCAAGUCUGGAGUGAAAGGCCGGGGCUAAACCCCCGGACUGCUUUGGAAACUGCGCAGCUUGAGUGCAGGAGAGGUAAGUGGAAUUCCUAGUGUAGCGGUGAAAUGCGUAGAUAUUAGGAGGAACACCAGUGGCGAAGGCGGCUUACUGGACUGUAACUGACGUUGAGGCUCGAAAGCGUGGGGAGCAAACAGGAUUAGAUACCCUGGUAGUC
Molecule: ribosomal RNA, 440 nt
Filed under: uncultured bacterium
Lineage: Bacteria
Description: partial 16S ribosomal RNA
Rfam family: Bacterial small subunit ribosomal RNA
Source: RNAcentral